This 487-nucleotide ribosomal RNA is filed under the name uncultured bacterium. RNAcentral's name for it is "bacterial SSU rRNA". It matches the Rfam family "Bacterial small subunit ribosomal RNA", at positions 8 to 507 of the family's 1533-position model. The record is from RNAcentral.
AGAGUUUGAUCAUGGCUCAGAACGAACGCUGGCGGCGCGUCUUUAAACAUGCAAGUCGAACGAUCUGUAGCAAUACAGGGAGUGGCGGACGGGUGAGGAACACGUAGGAAUCUACCUAGAAGAGCGGGGACAACUUUGGGAAACCGGGGCUAAUACCGCAUAGUACAGAGAUGUUAAAGGGCUAGCAAUAGUCGCUUCUAGAUGAGCCUGCGGUCUAUCAGCUUGUUGGUGAGGUAAUGGCUCACCAAGGCAGCGACGGAUAGCCGGUCUGAGAGGAUGAUCGGCCACACUGGCACUGAGACACGGGCCAGACUCCUACGGGAGGCAGCAGUUAAGAAUCUUGCGCAAUGGGGGAAACCCUGACGCAGCGACGCCGCGUGAAGGAUGAAGGCUUCGGGUUGUAAACUUCGGUAGACUGGGAAGAAGAACUACGUUCGUUGAGGGCGUAGAGUGACGGUACCAGUCUGAAGCCCCGGCUAAUUACGUG